Molecule: ribosomal RNA, 301 nt
Filed under: uncultured bacterium
Lineage: Bacteria
Description: partial 16S ribosomal RNA
Rfam family: Bacterial small subunit ribosomal RNA
Source: RNAcentral
CAGCCGCCACGGUAAUACGUAGGGUGCGAGCGUUAAUCGGAAUUACUGGGCGUAAAGUGUGCGCAGGCGGUUAUAUAAGACAGAUGUGAAAUCCCCGGGCUCAACCUGGGACCUGCAUUUGUGACUGUAUAGCUAGAGUGCGGUAGAGGGGGAUGGAAUUCCGCGUGUAGCAGUGAAAUGCGUAGAUAUGCGGAGGAACACCGAUGGCGAAGGCAAUCCCCUGGACCUGUACUGACGCUCAUGCACGAAAGCGUGGGGAGCAAACAGGAUUAGAUACCCGGGUAGUCCCUGUCUCUUAUAC